GACGAACGCUGGCGGCGUGCUUAACACAUGCAAGUCGUACGGAAAGGCCCUGCUUUUGUGGGGUGCUCGAGUGGCGAACGGGUGAGUAACACGUGAGUAACCUGCCCUUGACUUUGGGAUAACUUCAGGAAACUGGGGCUAAUACCGGAUAGGAGCUCCUGUUGCAUGGUGGGGGUUGGAAAGUUUCGGCGGUUGGGGAUGGACUCGCGGCUUAUCAGCUUGUUGGUGGGGUAGUGGCUUACCAAGGCUUUGACGGGUAGCCGGCCUGAGAGGGUGACCGGCCACAUUGGGACUGAGAUACGGCCCAGACUCCUACGGGAGGCAGCAGUGGGGAAUAUUGCACAAUGGGCGGAAGCCUGAUGCAGCAACGCCGCGUGCGGGAUGACGGCCUUCGGGUUGUAAACCGCUUUCGCCUGUGACGAAGCGUGAGUGACGGUAAUGGGUAAAGAAGCACCGGCUAACUACGUG
Molecule: ribosomal RNA, 468 nt
Filed under: uncultured bacterium
Lineage: Bacteria
Description: partial 16S ribosomal RNA
Rfam family: Bacterial small subunit ribosomal RNA
Source: RNAcentral